Long non-coding RNA from Erinaceus europaeus (western European hedgehog), 551 nucleotides. RefSeq lists it as uncharacterized. The record is from RefSeq and is a predicted model, not a curated record. The transcript is spliced from 4 exons. Lineage: Eukaryota; Metazoa; Chordata; Mammalia; Eulipotyphla; Erinaceidae.
CCGCGUCAGCGGGCGGAGAGGGCGGGGCCGCGCAGGAAAACAAGUGACCUUUACCUUUGAUAAGUUUUAAUUGGAAAAUACGGCCCUCCUAGAAUGACGACUACAUUUCCCAGACGCCUAUGCGGUUAGUCUCACGUGACUGAGUUCUGACCAAUGAGAACUAAGUGCGGCCUCAUGUGACAGUGUCUAAAACUUCUUCCUGAAAACACCGCUGAAAGAAAUUGAUGAACUCUCAAAACUUUCAUGUCACCUUGAGAGUGACUGGAACCCACAGCUAUGGUACACCUGGGAAGAAACUAUUUGCAGAGAAGACAGAAUCUCUCUGGGCCUAGCUCCUUCCCCCAGACUGGUACACCCCCCCCUCCCCAAGCUGAGUGAAGAUCCAUGCUAACAGCUCACAGAUGGCUCCUCUCCAGAAAAUUCUUUCAACUGAGUGGAAGUAGCCAUGUCUGGGAACUGCAGUCAGUGAAAGGCCAACCUCCUCACCUUGGGGAGGACUGGCUCUGGUGGGCUUUGUGCUCCAGAAUUCUUUCUGUAAACUUUAUUCAUAU